RNAcentral lists this ribosomal RNA (252 nucleotides) under uncultured bacterium. RNAcentral's name for it is "partial 16S ribosomal RNA". It matches the Rfam family "Bacterial small subunit ribosomal RNA", at positions 524 to 776 of the family's 1533-position model. The record is from RNAcentral.
UACGUAGGUGGCGAGCGUUAUCCGGAUUUAUUGGGCGUAAAGGGUGCGCAGACGGUUUAUUAAGUCUAAAAUCAAAUCUUGGAGCUUAACUCCAUUCCGUUUUAGAAACUGGUAGACUUGAGUAUGGUAGAGGCAGAUGGAAUUCCUAGUGUAGCGGUGGAAUGCGUAGAUAUUAGGAGGAACACCAGUGGCGAAGGCGAUUUGCUGGGCCAUUACUGACGUUCAGGCACGAAAGCGUGGGGAGCAAAUAGG